Molecule: transfer RNA, 86 nt
Filed under: Rhodospirillaceae bacterium
Lineage: Bacteria; Pseudomonadati; Pseudomonadota; Alphaproteobacteria; Rhodospirillales; Rhodospirillaceae
Description: tRNA-Leu
Rfam family: tRNA
About the family: Transfer RNA (tRNA) molecules are approximately 80 nucleotides in length. Their secondary structure includes four short double-helical elements and three loops (D, anti-codon, and T loops).
Source: RNAcentral
GGGGGCGUGGCGAAAUUGGUAAACGCAAGAGACUUAAAAUCUCUCGUCCUUUGGAUUUAUGGGUUCAAGUCCCUUCGCCCCCACCA